This 237-nucleotide long non-coding RNA is filed under the name Lathyrus oleraceus (garden pea). RNAcentral describes it as "Pisum sativum (pea) long non-coding RNA (PSAT_LNC015439)". Lineage: Eukaryota; Viridiplantae; Streptophyta; Magnoliopsida; Fabales; Fabaceae. The record is from RNAcentral.
UGAGGUUGAAUUCAAAUAAGUGCACUAUCAGAGUGUGGGCCGGUAAGCUGUUGGGGUUCAUUGCAAGAGAGGAAUCGAGGUUGAUCCUGCUUAAAAAAAAAGAAGAAAAAAAAAGAAAGAAAACAAAACAAGAAAUGCCUGAACCGAGAAUGGAAAGAGAGGUUCGUAGUCUCCUGGGUAGAUUGAACUACAUGUCAUGGUUCACAUCUCACCUAACAGCCACGUGGGAACCCAUUC